GUCCUUGUCGAUUAGUGGUUAGAUCAUCACGUUGUGGCCGUGAAGACGGAGGCUCGAAUCCUCCCUGGGACA
Molecule: transfer RNA, 72 nt
Filed under: Phanerochaete sordida
Lineage: Eukaryota; Fungi; Basidiomycota; Agaricomycetes; Polyporales; Phanerochaetaceae
Also listed under: 5 other names
Description: tRNA-His
Rfam family: tRNA
About the family: Transfer RNA (tRNA) molecules are approximately 80 nucleotides in length. Their secondary structure includes four short double-helical elements and three loops (D, anti-codon, and T loops).
Source: RNAcentral